AACCUUGGAGAGCACCUCCCUUUCAUAUGACUUCUGCAAAGGGCAUGUUUCAGCUCACAGGGACAAAGAGUCACUGCACCAGAGAACCAGAAAGAGUGAAGAAAUGUUUGUCCCCGGUGCUGAGAACACCACAGAUGAUCUUUCUGCCCAGAGCCACCAUCUUGUCUCUAAAUAUCAGGGUUAUCAAUGCCUGGCCAUCUCUUUUCAAUUUGGGACAACUGCCAGCGACCACUAGCUAGCUCCAGAAUUCCUCAGAUGUUUCAGGAAACUGCCACAACCUUGUAGAGCACAGUUUGAAAGCUACUGCUGAAGAAAUAUGCCAUCUUGAAGGCUUUUUAAACACGGGAUUUGCAAGAUAGGGUUCGCAUUUUAGAAACAUUAUUCUGCUUGCUACACUACUGAGUUUGGAUGAGGGAGACUUGAAGGCAAGGAGCUCUGUUAUGAAAUAACUACGCUUUUCUUACAGAAGAAGACUAUAAUAGACUGUAUCAAAAAUGUCUACGUUCCAUAGCAUUGG
Molecule: long non-coding RNA, 517 nt
Filed under: Pan troglodytes (chimpanzee)
Lineage: Eukaryota; Metazoa; Chordata; Mammalia; Primates; Hominidae
Description: lincRNA
Source: RNAcentral